UUAAAUUGAAGAGUUUGAUCAUGGCUCAGAUUGAACGCUGGCGGCAGGCCUAACAC
Molecule: ribosomal RNA, 56 nt
Filed under: Kosakonia radicincitans
Lineage: Bacteria; Pseudomonadati; Pseudomonadota; Gammaproteobacteria; Enterobacterales; Enterobacteriaceae
Also listed under: 1 other name
Description: 16S rRNA. Bacterial SSU
Source: RNAcentral